Long non-coding RNA from Trachymyrmex septentrionalis, 356 nucleotides. RefSeq lists it as uncharacterized. The record is from RefSeq and is a predicted model, not a curated record. The transcript is spliced from 3 exons. NCBI's taxonomy places the organism in Eukaryota, Metazoa, Arthropoda, Insecta, Hymenoptera, Formicidae.
AAUUUUAAUUUUUUGUAUUUUCCAUACGUACGUUAGUUUGACAUUGCAAAAACAUGGACUAAAAAUAAAAAUAUACAACUAAAAGCAACAAUAACAAUGGAGUAUUCAUUUUACUAUUUGGAACCAAAAAUAAAAUCACUGAAAUGUAGCUGCUUCUAGUAUGGAACUUUCUAUUUAAGAACUCAAAUCCGAAACAAUGAUUUUAAGCGAAUUGCCUCAAUUUUUAAUAUUUAUCUCAACUCAUACUUGUUGCUUUUUGAUAUGUUCUUACGAAGAAACGUAGUGCCCUGAUUGGAUUUAAAGGUCUUUAAAACGUGCACUGCGCUCGACAAUGUUGUCAGGUAAUAGCCGCCUUC